UACGGGGGGAGCAAGCGUUGUUCGGAUUUACUGGGCGUAAAGGGCGCGUAGGCGGCCACCGCAAGUCGACUGUGAAAUCUCCGGGCUUAACCCGGAACGGUCAGCCGAUACUGCGGGGCUAGAGUGCAGAAGGGGCAACUGGAAUUCUUGGUGUAGCGGUGAAAUGCGUAGAUAUCGAGAGGAACACCUGCGGCGAAGGCGGGUUGCUGGGCUGACACUGACGCUGAGGCGCGAAAGCUAGGGGAGCGAACGGG
This 254-nucleotide ribosomal RNA is filed under the name uncultured bacterium. RNAcentral's name for it is "partial 16S ribosomal RNA". It matches the Rfam family "Bacterial small subunit ribosomal RNA", at positions 524 to 776 of the family's 1533-position model. The record is from RNAcentral.